RNAcentral lists this ribosomal RNA (253 nucleotides) under uncultured bacterium. RNAcentral describes it as "partial 16S ribosomal RNA". It matches the Rfam family "Bacterial small subunit ribosomal RNA", at positions 524 to 776 of the family's 1533-position model. The record is from RNAcentral.
UACAGAGGUCUCAAGCGUUGUUCGGAUUCAUUGGGCGUAAAGGGUGCGUAGGCGGCGCGGUAAGUCGGGUGUGAAAGCCCCGGGCUCAACCUGGGAAUUGCAUUCGAGACUGCAUUGCUGGAGUACGGAAGAGGAGGGCGGAAUUCCCGGUGUAGCGGUGAAAUGCGUAGAUAUCGGGAGGAACAUCAGUGGCGAAGGCGGCCCUCUGGUCCAGUACUGACACUCAAGUGCGAAAGCGUGGGGAGCAAACAGG